GCUUGUCUCAAAGAUUAAGCCAUGCAUGUCUAAGUAUAAACAACUUUGUACUGUGAAACUGCGAAUGGCUCAUUAUAUCAGUUAUAGUCUACUCGAUAGUACCUUACUACUUGGAUAACCGUAGUAAUUCUAGAGCUAAUACAUGCGUAAAUACCCAACUGCUUGUCGGACGGGUAGCAUUUAUUAGAUUGAAACCAAUGCAGCUUCGGCUGGUAUUGUGUUGAGUCAUAAUAACUGUGCGGAUCGCUUUUUAAGCGAUAAAUCGAUUGAGUUUCUGCCCUAUCAGCUUUGGAUGGUAGUGUAUCGGACUACCAUGGCUUUAACGGGUAACGGGGAAUUAGGGUUCGAUUCCGGAGAGGGAGCCUGAGAAACGGCUACCACAUCCAAGGAAGGCAGCAGG
This 400-nucleotide ribosomal RNA is filed under the name uncultured Saprolegniales. RNAcentral's name for it is "partial small subunit ribosomal RNA". It matches the Rfam family "Eukaryotic small subunit ribosomal RNA", at positions 30 to 432 of the family's 1831-position model. The record is from RNAcentral. Lineage: Eukaryota; Oomycota; Saprolegniomycetes; Saprolegniales.